CUGGGUUUCGGACCUCGUGUCCACUCACCCGCCCUUUGUCAUACAUACCAAUAUCAUUUCGGCUCCUGGCUCUCGGGCACCCUCGCUAUUAACGUGGUGAGGUACUGCCUGUUGGCCGCGGGUCGGCAUUGCAAACCCAAUAGUGAAAACUGAAGUCUGAUACAAUUUUUUAAACGAAAUUA
RNAcentral lists this unclassified non-coding RNA (182 nucleotides) under uncultured Ascomycota. RNAcentral's name for it is "sequence contains ITS1". The record is from RNAcentral. Lineage: Eukaryota; Fungi; Ascomycota.